CUCACCUAAGGAUGCGAGCUAGCAGGUCUUGCAGCGGCUAUCACGCCCCUCACGCCGCUAUCUCUGUGCAGCCGACUGAGGAUCCCUAGUCGCAUAAGGCUGUGCCUGGCCUGUUGGCGUCCCUGGCAGUUGUUGGGUUCUGGCGGUUGUUGGGUCCCUGGCAGUUGUUGGCGGUUGUUGGGUUCCUUCAUUGAAACUGCACUAACUGGGCUUCCAGUCAGCGUCAGUCAGCGGAUCCUUGGGCCGUGGGGCAGCCGCAGGUCGGUUAGGCCACCAGGGCGGCUCUCGUGCCAGUGAGGCCCCUGAGAGCCCUUUGGUCAGACAGAGGCUAAAUCUGAACAGUCAGGCGGUGAGAUUAAGCAUAGUCAGGGAGUUCGCCAGGAGCCAGCGUUCCUCAGCCUCCACCACGUCAGUCACCUGGUCAGCCAGAGGGCAGCUGGGGCGACAUCCAUCUACCAAGAAGGUGAACAGGCCUUCACGAUGACCAGAGACAGAAGCCCCUGACUUGGCUAAAGAUACUUCUGCUCUCCCCAUCCCCACAUCCUCUUUCAGUUACGCAUCACCUCACUCCUUCUGAACCAUAUGGUUCUGAUGUCAGAGCCAGUGUAGUAAAGAGCUUCUGCUGUUCCUGAGAACUGUUGCUGCUGGAAGUGAUGCUUCCACUGCUACAGCUGGAGUGAAACAUAUCAGAAAGAAGCAGGCGAAGAAAGCUGCAGCGAUCAGAGCAAAAAAGAGCUCUAAAGUCAGAGCAAGCCAAGAACUUGAGAUGUCUCUGAAGCCUGAGGAACCAGGAAAACCCGUAGUCGCCACAUUUUCUGAGAGCCGGAUAUUGGAAAAGCAAGAUAAACGAGCCAGCUAAGCCUGUGGAACAUGCCUCAUACCUGGAGUCGCCAUUAUCCCUGGAAUUACAAAGAUCUGCAAAAUUUAUAGCGCUCACAGAAACCCUGGAGGCUGUAAUAAACCUGGAGCCCCCUGGACUCUCCUCAGCUCACAAAACCCUCUCAAUUCCUACACAUCCCUUAACACUCAUUCUCCAUUGAAUAGGUGGUUACUCUUAGACCUAGUCUUAGAACCUCUGAAGACACACUUUGUAAUUUGUUGUUUGGCUAAAUGAGAAGAAAUCUGUGCCACCCUGGGAAGGUGUCAAAAGAAGGAAAAAUACAUGUGACAAUAUGAAUCAAGUCCAUCAGCAAGUUACUUUUGAGCGCCUACUGUGUGUCAGUGCCUGAGAUACACCUACAAGAGCGCCAGGCUUUCAAGCCUUCAUAUCUGGAUAGAAUCCCAACUUCAGUGCUUGGUGGCUGUCUAUCUUUGGACAAGAUCUUUCAUUCCCCAUCCUUUGAACAUCACAUGACCCAUAUCUGGGUGGAGAAUGGGUGAAAAGUACUGUUCAGAGAUGCAGGUGAGAAAAAACAUGACGAUGGGCCCUGAAUGCCAAGAUUCAUUGGAGCUUUGGAGCUUUAUCUUGUAGGACCUUAUCCUGACUCCCUUAGAAUGUAAGUUCCAAGAGAACAGGGACUUUGUCUGCCUUGUUUUCUACUUUUAUCACCAGCACCCAGAAUGAUGCCUAAAAUACAAUAAGAUCUCAAG
RNAcentral lists this long non-coding RNA (1590 nucleotides) under Homo sapiens (human). RNAcentral describes it as "HSALNT0398558". Lineage: Eukaryota; Metazoa; Chordata; Mammalia; Primates; Hominidae. The record is from RNAcentral.